RNAcentral lists this ribosomal RNA (720 nucleotides) under Bacillus sp. SKS47. RNAcentral describes it as "bacterial SSU rRNA". It matches the Rfam family "Bacterial small subunit ribosomal RNA", at positions 634 to 1354 of the family's 1533-position model. The record is from RNAcentral. Lineage: Bacteria; Bacillati; Bacillota; Bacilli; Caryophanales; Bacillaceae.
UGGGAAACUUGAGUGCAGAAGAGGAGAGUGGAAUUCCACGUGUAGCGGUGAAAUGCUAAGAGAUGUGGAGGAACACCAGUGGCGAAGGCGACUCUCUGGUCUGUAACUGACGCUGAGGAGCGAAAGCGUGGGGAGCGAACAGGAUUAGAUACCCUGGUAGUCCACGCCGUAAACGAUGAGUGCUAAGUGUUAGGGGGUUUCCGCCCCUUAGUGCUGCAGCUAACGCAUUAAGCACUCCGCCUGGGGAGUACGGUCGCAAGACUGAAACUCAAAGGAAUUGACGGGGGCCCGCACAAGCGGUGGAGCAUGUGGUUUAAUUCGAAGCAACGCGAAGAACCUUACCAGGUCUUGACAUCCUCUGACAACCCUAGAGAUAGGGCUUUCCCUUCGGGGACAGAGUGACAGGUGGUGCAUGGUUGUCGUCAGCUCGUGUCGUGAGAUGUUGGGUUAAGUCCCGCAACGAGCGCAACCCUUGAUCUUAGUUGCCAGCAUUCAGUUGGGCACUCUAAGGUGACUGCCGGUGACAAACCGGAGGAAGGUGGGGAUGACGUCAAAUCAUCAUGCCCCUUAUGACCUGGGCUACACACGUGCUACAAUGGACAGAACAAAGGGCUGCAAGACCGCAAGGUUUAGCCAAUCCCAUAAAUCUGUUCUCAGUUCGGAUCGCAGUCUGCAACUCGACUGCGUGAAGCUGGAAUCGCUAGUAAUCGCGGAUCAGCA